This is a long non-coding RNA of Lemur catta (Ring-tailed lemur), 930 nucleotides long. RefSeq lists it as uncharacterized. The transcript is spliced from 6 exons. Lineage: Eukaryota; Metazoa; Chordata; Mammalia; Primates; Lemuridae. The record is from RefSeq and is a predicted model, not a curated record.
UGGGCGGGGCGGAGGGAGCCGGGAAGCGGAAGCGGCGAGCGCGCCUGGAGCUCAGCUGCGGGCAUGGGGGCGGCAGGAGCCGCAGAGCCCUCCCGAGAACGGGGCUGCCGGAGCGGGCGGCCGAGACAAAGGCGACGAAAUGAAUGCCGAACGCUUACGAAGAGAUAAAGGUUAUUUGGUACAUAUUGGUGGUCUCUGUCCUUCAGUAUCUGAGAUAUGCAUCUCUUGCUUUCCAAAAAAAAAAAAAAACAGUGAUGUAAAGAUGGCUGUGAAAGGAAUGAUGCCAAAAAGUAGGUAACAAGGCUUCCAGGCUCUCUUCAACGCCUCCAAGCUCCCCUUUCUCCAAACACAAAAGGAAGAUGAAAACUACAAAUCCCCAUCUGCCCACCCUGCAGUUCCUGGGAAGAGACAGUCCUCAAAUUGUUCCUGCUUAGACCCCUGAAGCCUGGAGAAGGAGAUGGGGACAGGUGUGGCAGCGGAACUGCAAAGAAAUGUCAAGCACAUGACUGCAGCUAGACAAUCCAAGGCAAGAUGAAUGUCAGAAGAUUUUGGCUUCCUGGAAAAAACUCACCAUGGACUUUGGUUAUUCAGAAUUAGCUACUUCUUCUGUAAGGCUAUCAGGAGCUAAGAGUUGAACAUGGUCAGCGUCAAAGUAUUCUGAGGGUGAGUGUAGAGUCAGAGCCACACAGAGCCCGAACCCUUUCUCCAUCUUCUGUUCCUUCCCUUGCAGGUAAUUUUAUGAUCUUCUUCACCAGAAUACAGGGAAGGGACAAAAAUAUAUGGAAUUCAAUUUUGUUACUUAUUAACAAAAGCCAACAAAAAGCGUUUAAGUGAGCUUUUGUAAAUUAUCUGCUUCCAUUUUUACAAAUAGCAUUUAAAGAAUAUGGAGAAAUAGGUAUAAAGAAAUUUUAUCUAAAUUAACAACAACAA